This 381-nucleotide long non-coding RNA is filed under the name Hordeum vulgare. Its description in RNAcentral is "long non-coding RNA (HVUL_LNC004911)". Lineage: Eukaryota; Viridiplantae; Streptophyta; Magnoliopsida; Poales; Poaceae. The record is from RNAcentral.
GCGGCGGCCGCCUGGGAGGGCGCGAGGCGGCGGAAUGCCGGGAGGCAGUGCGGCAGGAGUAAGGCGGCAGUCGCGAGCGCCUUGGCGAUCCAGAGCUCAGCGUCGUGCAGGGGCAGGUCCUGCGGCGGCGGGCGGUCAAUGGGGUUGUAGGAGUGGAGGAGGCGGAGGAGGGGGUGGCGAGGGGGGAUCCGGAGCUGGAGAAGGCUGUGUAGGAGGAGGUGGGGAGGCAUCGGAGAAGGCGGCGGCGGAGGGUAGCUUGAGAGGAGGAGACGGCGCGGCGGCGGUCAUGGAAUCACGGCGAUGGGAAGAGGCGGCGUAGGCCGCAUGGUGGUGCGUGUGGGAGGGAGAAGAGGGUUUGGCCCGUUUGGGGCUUUUCUGUAA